Pteropus alecto (black flying fox) is the source of this 259-nucleotide long non-coding RNA. RefSeq lists it as uncharacterized. NCBI's taxonomy places the organism in Eukaryota, Metazoa, Chordata, Mammalia, Chiroptera, Pteropodidae. The record is from RefSeq and is a predicted model, not a curated record. The transcript is spliced from 3 exons.
GGCUGGCUGAGGAGGGAAGGGAAUCGUGGAGGUAAACAACAGCCAACUUCUGAACCAACUCCCCAAAGCUGUUAAGGUCGGAUCCCCCUUAAGUCUCUUGGGGAGUAAAAAAAGAAAAGAAAAGGAAGUGGAAGCGUGAAGGAAGGGGAGAAGAAACAGUUGUCAGAGAGGGGAUGAUCCAAGGAGGAGCAAGAGCGGCUCGCGGGGAAAAGCCUGUCUAGGCGAUCAGGACGCCACUUUGUCUAUGGUUUCAGCAAAU